GCCGGAGUAGCGCAAUGGCAGCGCGUAGCUUUCCUACUUUGAGUAAGAGGCUAAGGCUGUGGGUUCGAGUCCCACCUUCGGUU
Molecule: transfer RNA, 83 nt
Organism: Fomitiporia mediterranea MF3/22
Lineage: Eukaryota; Fungi; Basidiomycota; Agaricomycetes; Hymenochaetales; Hymenochaetaceae
Rfam family: tRNA
About the family: Transfer RNA (tRNA) molecules are approximately 80 nucleotides in length. Their secondary structure includes four short double-helical elements and three loops (D, anti-codon, and T loops). Further hydrogen bonds mediate the characteristic L-shaped molecular structure. tRNAs have two regions of fundamental functional importance: the anti-codon, which is responsible for specific mRNA codon recognition, and the 3' end, to which the tRNAs corresponding amino acid is attached (by aminoacyl-tRNA synthetases). tRNAs cope with the degeneracy of the genetic code in two manners: having more than one tRNA (with a specific anti-codon) for a particular amino acid; and 'wobble' base-pairing, i.e. permitting non-standard base-pairing at the 3rd anti-codon position.
Source: Rfam